RNAcentral lists this long non-coding RNA (376 nucleotides) under Helianthus annuus (common sunflower). Its description in RNAcentral is "sRNA HanXRQr2_Chr16g0736571". The record is from RNAcentral. Lineage: Eukaryota; Viridiplantae; Streptophyta; Magnoliopsida; Asterales; Asteraceae.
UCUCUCUCUCUCUCUCUACCUUCAAAUCUUCAAGACUUGUUCUUCAUUCAAAGCUUUGAAGGUGAUCCAUGGAGGUUGCAAGUUGAAGGGCAUUCAAAGGAGCUUUGUUCUAGUCUUGUUCAUCAUCUUUCUCACCAUCAUCUUCACUAGAAUUUCUACCCUAGCUUUGUGCUAGUACUCAAGCUGCAUUUUUAUGGCAGAAAAAGUGUUGUCGUGUAGCGGACAGGGUUUGAGAUUCGAUUCAAGACGCACUACUGAGUUGUUGCUUAGGAUGUUCGUGACACACUAGGGCGGACCUAUGCCUUAGAGACUAAAAUAAAGAUGGAACUAGUUUAAUUAUGUGAUGAACACUUUGUUUCAGUUAAUUUAAGACUAU